AGCUCGUAGUUGAAUCUUGGGCCUGGCUGGCCGGUCCGCCUCACCGCGUGUACUGGUCCGGCCGGGUCUUUCACUCUGCGGAACCACAUGCCCUUCAGUGGGUGUGGCGGGGAAGCAGGACUUUUACUUUGAAAAAAUUAGAGUGCUCUAAGCAGGCCAAUGCUCGAAUACAUUAGCAUGGAAUAAUAAAAUAGGACGCGCGGUUCUAUUUUGUUGGUUUCUAGGACCGCCGUAAUGAUGGAUAGGGACAGUCGGGGGCAUCAGUAUUCAGUUGUCAGAGGUGAAAUUCUUGGAUCUACUGAAGACUAACUACUGCGAAAGCAUUUGCCAAGGAUGUUUUCAUUAAUCAGGAACGAAAGUUAGGGGAUCGAAGACGAUCAGAUACCGUCGUAGUCUUAACCAUAAACUAUGCCGACUAGGGAUCGGACGGUGUUAUUUCUUGACCCGUUCGGCACCUU
This 458-nucleotide ribosomal RNA is filed under the name uncultured fungus. RNAcentral's name for it is "SSU rRNA". It matches the Rfam family "Eukaryotic small subunit ribosomal RNA", at positions 625 to 1089 of the family's 1831-position model. The record is from RNAcentral. Lineage: Eukaryota; Fungi.